UUGAUCCUGGCUCAGAAUCAACGCUGGCGGCGUGCCUCAGACAUGCAAGUCGAACGCGAAAGGCCCCUUCGGGGGCCGAGUAGAGUGGCGCACGGGUGAUUAACACGUAGGUAAUCUACCUCUGGGUGGGGAAUAACGACCGGAAACGGUCGCUAAUACCGCAUAAUGCAGCGGCACCACAUGGUGACAGUUGUUAAAGUGGGGGAUCGUAAGACCUCGCGCCUAGAGAUGAGCCUGCGGCGGAUUAGCUAGUUGGCAGGGUAACGGCCUACCAAGGCGACGAUCCGUAGCCGGCCUGAUAGGGCGGACGGCCACACUGGCACUGACAUACGGGCCAGACUCCUACGGGUGGCAGCAGUCGGGAAUUUUGGGCAAUGGGCGAAAGCCUGACCCAGCAACUCCGCGUGAAGGAUGAAGCUUCUCGGAGUGUAAACUUCAUAAGAAUGGGAUGAAUAAGGAGGGGUUAACACCCCCUUCGAUGACGGUACCAUUUGUAAGCUCCGGCUAACUCCGUGCCAGCAGCCGCGGUAAUAAGGU
This 537-nucleotide ribosomal RNA is filed under the name uncultured Acidobacteriota bacterium. RNAcentral describes it as "bacterial SSU rRNA". It matches the Rfam family "Bacterial small subunit ribosomal RNA", at positions 13 to 529 of the family's 1533-position model. Lineage: Bacteria; Pseudomonadati; Acidobacteriota. The record is from RNAcentral.